GAUGAAGAACGCAGUGAAUUGCGAUAUGUAAUGUGAAUUGCAGAUUUUCAGUGAAUCAUCGAAUCUUUGAACGCAUCUUGCGCUCCUUGGUAUUCUGAGGAGCAUGCCUGUUUGAGUGUCAUUAAAUUCUCAACUACACUGACUUUGAAUUGGUGUGGCUUGGAUUUGGGGGGAAAAUUGUUGUGGGCUUUUUGUAUAGUCUGCUCCCCUGAAAUUGAUUAGCGGUACCUUUGUGGAACUGUCUACAGGUGUGAUAAUUAUCUACAUCUUAGACAUCUGCUGGAAUGCUGCUUUCUAAACCUUACUUGUAUUGACAAUCUUGACCUCAAAUCAGGUAGGACUACCCGCUGAACUUAAGCAUAUCAAUAAGCGGAGGA
RNAcentral lists this unclassified non-coding RNA (377 nucleotides) under soil metagenome. RNAcentral describes it as "partial contains 5.8S ribosomal RNA, internal transcribed spacer 2, and large subunit ribosomal RNA". The stretch from base 1 to 121 matches the Rfam family "5.8S ribosomal RNA", at positions 35 to 154 of the family's 154-position model. The record is from RNAcentral.